RNAcentral lists this unclassified non-coding RNA (210 nucleotides) under Hevea brasiliensis (rubber tree). The record is from RNAcentral. Lineage: Eukaryota; Viridiplantae; Streptophyta; Magnoliopsida; Malpighiales; Euphorbiaceae.
CCAUCUAGCCAAUCAGUUGACCCAGAGAGAACCAAUCCCACAAAUGCAGAAGAAUACAUUUCAUUUGUAAUCAUCCAUCCAAUCAGAGGCCCAGAGACCAAACGAGUUAGAGAGAUGAAAUUAGGCAGAUUCACAAAACUCUCAAAAAACCUAUCAUCGACAACACCCUCCUUCAGCUCUUGGACCCGAUCCAACACUCUUUGACCGGUC